UCCUCAUCUUAUGUUUUUCUUGUUAUCUAUAACUCCGGCUUCACCUCUACGUCAUAUUUUUCACUAUUUUUCUUAAAAAAUUCUCUACUGUUGGAGAUGGUUUUUAGAUAUGAGGUCAUAUAUUUACUCUAUGUGUAGACUCCAUAAAUAAAAGAACUAAAAACAUCUCCAAUGGUAACUUGGUGUGCAUCCUAUAUGUACUAGUUUUUUAAUGAAUGUGAGAUAAAAUUUCUCUAAUUUAAGGAUGUGAAAAAAAUCCAUCUCCAACCAUAAAUCAUAUAUAUUAGUUGAAAACAUUUUAAAUUAUUGAUUUGAAACCUAAAUAUUUAACUCUUUAAUUAAGAACCUUUGAUUUUAAUGGUUAGAAUGUUUACAUCCUCUAAGGAAACCUCUAAAACCAGAGGAUGGAGUAGAAGAUGUGAGAAUAACUACCUGACACAUCAUCCUCACAUUUGUCUUUAAAGUUUCCAUUGGGGAAGAUUUUUUUGUUAAAACUCUGAAAAUCCUAUGUGGUCUAAAAUAUAGGAAUUCUUCGUUGUGUAACGGGAUUUGAUGCGGAACAUCCAGUUGAGCUUUCGAAGGGAACUGUUGAAUUCAUUGAUCCAACAGAACAUAUGGUGCGACCUCUAAUACCACCAAUAUGGUUUUCCUCAUUGGUGUAUCAAUUUCUGCUGUUAAAAAAUUUGGAUGAUGGGGACAUAUGUAAGCUUCAGAAGUCAAAUUGAUUAGAUUGGUGCAACCAGACAUAAUAGCAUGCCUACAUGGGAAGGAUGUCAAACACUAGCUAUCGUUCUUACUUAUGAAGCGAUAUUAGAACUUCUUUAGUUGUGGAAUGGAAAACUACUGGAGAUUGUCCAUCUUGAAAAAGUGCAGAGAUUCAUGAGGGUUAAUGGGAGGAAACAAUCAAGUCAGAAGAGAUAAUCAUGUACGUGGACCGCAAAACAGAAAUGAUUUAGGUAAUUAGAAAAAACACUUCCAUAUGCAAAUUCAAGAAAUUCAUUGCUUUUGAACUCAAGAGUUUAUUAAUCUGUAAAAUAGUCUUUCAAAAAUAGUAGCUCUGACAGAGGUGAAAAUCCACAUAAAAUAUUUCAGCAUCGAGAAUUUACAAAGCAGUACAAGAACUGUCGGUAGUUUGUAGGUUGUUUGCUUUGUUGAGUAAUAAGAUUAAACAUCUGUGCUCGUACCA
Long non-coding RNA from Papaver somniferum (opium poppy), 1186 nucleotides. RefSeq lists it as uncharacterized. The transcript has 5 exons. Lineage: Eukaryota; Viridiplantae; Streptophyta; Magnoliopsida; Ranunculales; Papaveraceae. The record is from RefSeq and is a predicted model, not a curated record.